AGAGUUUGAUCCUGGCUCAGAACGAACGCUGGCGGCAUGCUUAACACAUGCAAAGUCGAACGAGAGGCUUCGGCCUCUAGUGGCGCACGGGUGCGUAACGCGUGGGAAUCUGCCCUUGGGUUCGGAACAACUCCGGGAAACUGGAGCUAAUGCCGGAUACGCCCUUCGGGGGAAAGAUUUAUCGCCAAAGGAUCGGCCCGCGUCUGAUUAGCUAGUUGGUGGGGUAAUGGCCUACCAAGGCGACGAUCAGUAGCUGGUCUGAGAGGAUGAUCAGCCACACUGGGACUGAGACACGGCCCAGACUCCUACGGGAGGCAGCAGUGGGGAAUAUUGGACAAUGGGCGCAAGCCUGAUCCAGCCAUGCCGCGUGAGUGAUGAAGGCCUUAGGGUUGUAAAGCUCUUUCACCCACGACGAUAAUGACGGUAGUGGGAGAAGAAGCCCCGGCUAACUUCGUGCCAGCAGCCGCGGUAAUACGAAGGGGGCUAGCGUUGCUCGGAAUCACUGGGCGUAAAGGGCGCGUAGGCGGUUGGGUAAGUCGGGUGUGAAAGCCCUGGGCUUAACCUGGGAAUGGCAUUCGAGACCACCUAUCUAGAGUCUGGUAGAGGGAAGUGGAAUUUCCGGUGUAGCGGUGAAAUGCGUAGAGAUCAGGAAGAACAUCGGUGGCGAAGGCGCUCUGCUGGACCAUAACUGACACUCAGGGACGAAAGCUAGGGGAGCGAAUGGGAUUAGAUACCCCCGUAGUCC
RNAcentral lists this ribosomal RNA (745 nucleotides) under uncultured bacterium. RNAcentral describes it as "bacterial SSU rRNA". It matches the Rfam family "Bacterial small subunit ribosomal RNA", at positions 8 to 796 of the family's 1533-position model. The record is from RNAcentral.